UGGGGAAUAUUGGACAAUGGGGGCAACCCUGAUCCAGCAAUGCCGCGUGAGUGAAGAAGGCCUUCGGGUUGUAAAGCUCUUUUACCAGGGAAGAUGAUGACGGUACCUGGGGAAUAAGCUCCGGCUAACUUCGUGCCAGCAGCCGCGGUAAUACGAAGGGAGCUAGCGUUGUUCGGAAUUACUGGGCGUAAAGGGCGCGUAGGCGGCGUGAUAAGUCAGAUGUGAAAGCCCCGGGCUUAACCUGGGAACUGCAUAUGAUACUGUCAGGCUAGAGAUCGAGAGAGGAAAGUGGAAUUACGAGUGUAGAAGUGAAAUUCGUAGAUAUUCGUAGGAACACCGGUGGCGAAGGCGACUUUCUGGCUCGAUACUGACGCUAAAGCGCGAAAGCGUGGGGAGCAAA
This 400-nucleotide ribosomal RNA is filed under the name uncultured bacterium. RNAcentral describes it as "bacterial SSU rRNA". It matches the Rfam family "Bacterial small subunit ribosomal RNA", at positions 355 to 772 of the family's 1533-position model. The record is from RNAcentral.